AGAGUUUGAUUAUGGCUCAGGACGAACGCUGGCGGCGUGCUUAACACAUGCAAGUCGAACGAAGCGCUUAAGAUGAUUUCUUCGGAAUGAAUUUUUAGUUGCUUAGUGGCGGACGGGUGAGUAACGCGUGAGCAACCUGCCCAUAAGAGGGGGAUAACAGCUGGAAACGGCUGCUAAUACCGCAUAAGACCACAUUGCCACAUGGCAAAGGGGUCAAAGAUUUAUCGCUUAUGGAUGGGCUCGCGUCUGAUUAGCUAGUUGGUAGGGUAACGGCCUACCAAGGCGACGAUCAGUAGCCGACCUGAGAGGGUGAUCGGCCACACUGGAACUGAGACACGGUCCAG
Molecule: ribosomal RNA, 344 nt
Filed under: uncultured bacterium
Lineage: Bacteria
Description: bacterial SSU rRNA
Rfam family: Bacterial small subunit ribosomal RNA
Source: RNAcentral